GGAAUGUUAAAAUUGAUGCAAUCACUGUCCAGAGAAAGUCAAGAACUAAAGCUUGACGUGUCAUCUUGUGGUCUGACACCUGACUGCAUUGUCAGAUUAAAUGCAGAAGUUUCUGUAUUUAAUAGCAUAGUUGAGCUUGACCUUGGGGGUAAUCAGCUCAAGCAGGAGGGUGGCAGGGCAUUGGCAGCAGCAGUGAGUAAUCCCCAGUGUUGUUUCCGAGUCCUGCUAUUACAGAAAUGUCAACUGGGACUUCUUGGCAUUCUUUCUAUACUAAAGGGAUUAUCAGACAACUAUUAUCUCGAAGAGCUCAACGUGGCUGAAAAUGCAGAUCAAAACAAA
Molecule: unclassified non-coding RNA, 339 nt
Filed under: Hevea brasiliensis (rubber tree)
Lineage: Eukaryota; Viridiplantae; Streptophyta; Magnoliopsida; Malpighiales; Euphorbiaceae
Source: RNAcentral